Molecule: ribosomal RNA, 708 nt
Filed under: uncultured bacterium
Lineage: Bacteria
Description: bacterial SSU rRNA
Rfam family: Bacterial small subunit ribosomal RNA
Source: RNAcentral
AGAGUUUGAUCAUGGCUCAGGACGAACGCUGGCGGCGCGCCUAAUGCAUGCAAGUCGAGCGACGCAUACUCGGUGGGCAACCACUGGGUAUGACGGAGCGGCGAACGGGUGAGUAACACGUGAGUAACCUGCCCCGAGGAUCGGGAUAGCCCGGGGAAACCCGGAUUAAUACCGAAUACCCUCUCUGGAUCGCAUGAUCCGUUGAGGAAAUGCCUUUGUGCUUCGGGAUGGACUCGCGGCCUAUCAGCUAGUUGGUGAGGUAACGGCUCACCAAGGCAUCGACGGGUAGCUGGUCUGAGAGGACGAUCAGCCACACUGGGACUGAGACACGGCCCAGACUCCUACGGGAGGCAGCAGCAGGGAAUCUUGUCCAAUGGGCGAAAGCCUGAGACAGCGACGCCGCGUGAGGGAUGAAGGCCUUCGGGUUGUAAACCUCUUUCAGGAGGGACGAAAUUGACGGUACCUCCAGAAGAAGCCCCGGCCAACUACGUGCCAGCAGCCGCGGUAAUACGUAGGGGGCAAGCGUUGUCCGGAUUUAUUGGGCGUAAAGGGCUCGUAGGCGGCUCAACAAGUCGGCCGUGAAAACCCAGGGCUCAACCCUGGGACGCCGGUCGAUACUGUUGUGGCUUGGGUCCGGUAGAGGAGAAUGGAAUUCCCGGUGUAGCGGUGAAAUGCGCAGAUAUCGGGAGGAACACCAGUAGCGAAGGC